RNAcentral lists this long non-coding RNA (1339 nucleotides) under Brassica rapa (field mustard). RNAcentral's name for it is "long non-coding RNA (BRAP_LNC002148)". The record is from RNAcentral. Lineage: Eukaryota; Viridiplantae; Streptophyta; Magnoliopsida; Brassicales; Brassicaceae.
GAUAAUUUUGUAAAGAAAUCGAAGCUAUACUAUACUCCCACUCUUUUGGAGACAAUCAAGUACUUAUCACAAAUACGCAUGAUCCAAGAACAUGCAGCUAGCCACGUGGAAUGGUGUUCGUUAGUUAACGAACGGUGAAUCAAUGUGACUCUUGACUUUAAAGAUACGCGACGGCUCGCCUCUUCGAAAGCGCUAGCACCUCACACCGUCCACAUGUCUGGCCGUGAUUUCGUAUUAAUAUAACUUUGAUAUCUUCUUCCUUUACAUAUAAAAUUUAAUAGAUCUUUGGUACUAAAAGACUAAAAGAGCACCGCCACUGUUAUCCAUUUGCUUCAACUUGAAAGAUACUUCUAAAAAAAGAUAGACGGAAUAUUUUAAUAAAAUAAGCUUCAAUUUGUUAUAAUGAGUGAGGGAAAGUAAAUAUAUAAUGUUUUUAUCAGUUCCUAACUUCCUACCAAUAUUAAAUUCACACGAUGAGGCACGACCGUGCAGUUUUUUUUUUCCCCAAAUUAAAAUUUCAUUCGUAAUCAAAUUACCGGUAUUCAUACACAAACUGGCGGCAAAACAAAAUAGUCCCAAAACCAAAAGUUCAUAAGAAGCAGCGGCUAAAAUCCACACUGGGGCGACUAAAACCCACACUCGGGUGAUUUACAAACAAACACAAACCAUAAAAACUAAAGUGCAAUUGUCAAUAAUAGCACCUUUUGAAGUUUAUGUCACAAAAAUAACACUAGAAGGAGAAAGUCACAAAAAUGACAUUCAUUAAAGGGUAAAAUAUCCCUAAUACCCUUGGUUUAAAAUUAAAUAAACAAACAAAAAUAAAUAUAAAUAAAUAAAAUAAAAAUAAAAAAAAAAUUAAAAAAAAGAAUUUUUUUUAUAGUUUCAGAUUAUAUUUUUCAGAUUCAAAAUUUUUAUAAUAUUUUUUUGAAUUUGUUUUUUGAAUUUUUUUUUUUUAAUUUUCUUUUUAUAAUUUAAAAAUACUUUUUGAAACUGUUUUUAAAAUUUUUAUUUUUAUUUUAGUAUUUAUUUUUUAUAAAAUUUUAAACCCUAAUUCCAAAACCCCACCCCCUUAACUCUAAACCCUAAGGUUUGGAUUAAUUAACCCAAAGGGUAUAAGUGUAUAUUUACCUCUUUAAUGAAACCUAUUUUUGUGACUUUGAGCCUUGAGUGCUACUUUGGGAACAAAAACUUGGUUUGGUGCUAUCUUAGUCUUUUUCUCAAAACUAAAUCAACUCUAGCACCAAAAACACGUUAACAUCCACGCAAAAGCCUCAUCAGAUCACUUAGCAGCUUUUAAAACAGAGUAAAUGUCAAUGGUCGGAAAAGUACCGCUGCUGUC